RNAcentral lists this non-coding RNA (24 nucleotides) under Arabidopsis thaliana (thale cress). The record is from RNAcentral. Lineage: Eukaryota; Viridiplantae; Streptophyta; Magnoliopsida; Brassicales; Brassicaceae.
UGAGAUCUCCGAGAAUGGCGCCAC